AUUGAACGCUGGCGGCAGGCCUAACACAUGCAAGUCGAGCGAGCGGCGGACGGGUGAGUAAUGUCUGGGAAUCUGCCCGAUGGAGGGGGAUAACUACUGGAAACGGUGGCUAAUACCGCAUACUAUCGGAUGAACCCAUAUGGGUUUAGCUAGUAGGGGGGGUAAAGGCUCACCUAGGCGACGAUCCCUAGCUGGUCUGAGAGGAUGAACAGCAACAAGGGGACGGAGACACGGUCCAGACUCUGACGGGAGGCAGCAGUGGGGAAUAUUGCACAAUGGGCGCAAGCCUGAUGCAGCCAUGCCGCGUGUAUGAAGAAGGCCUUAGGGUUGUAAAGUACUUUCAGCGGGGAGGCGUUACCCGCAGAAGAAGCACCGGCUAACUCCGUGCCAGCAGCCGCGGUAAUUC
This 406-nucleotide ribosomal RNA is filed under the name uncultured bacterium. RNAcentral describes it as "partial 16S ribosomal RNA". It matches the Rfam family "Bacterial small subunit ribosomal RNA", at positions 30 to 526 of the family's 1533-position model. The record is from RNAcentral.